RNAcentral lists this ribosomal RNA (576 nucleotides) under Bacillus sonorensis. RNAcentral's name for it is "bacterial SSU rRNA". It matches the Rfam family "Bacterial small subunit ribosomal RNA", at positions 95 to 655 of the family's 1533-position model. Lineage: Bacteria; Bacillati; Bacillota; Bacilli; Caryophanales; Bacillaceae. The record is from RNAcentral.
GCGGCGGACGGGUGAGUAACACGUGGGUAACCUGCCUGUAAGACUGGGAUAACUCCGGGAAACCGGGGCUAAUACCGGAUGCUUGAUUGAACCGCAUGGUUCAAUUAUAAAAGGUGGCUUUUAGCUACCACUUACAGAUGGACCCGCGGCGCAUUAGCUAGUUGGUGAGGUAACGGCUCACCAAGGCAACAAUGCGUAGCCAACCUGAGAGGGUGAUCGGCCACACUGGGACUGAAACACGGCCCAAACUCCUACGGGAGGCAGCAGUAGGGAAUCUUCCGCAAUGGACAAAAGUCUGACGGAGCAACGCCGCGUGAGUGAUGAAGGUUUUCGGAUCGUAAAACUCUGUUGUUAGGGAAGAACAAGUACCGUUCGAAUAGGGCGGUACCUUGACGGUACCUAACCAAAAAGCCACGGCUAACUACGUGCCAGCAGCCGCGGUAAUACGUAGGUGGCAAGCGUUGUCCGGAAUUAUUGGGCGUAAAGCGCGCGCAGGCGGUUUCUUAAGUCUGAUGUGAAAGCCCCCGGCUCAACCGGGGAGGGUCAUUGGAAACUGGGGAACUUGAGUGCAAAAAA